This 788-nucleotide ribosomal RNA is filed under the name Coltricia macropora. RNAcentral's name for it is "eukaryotic LSU rRNA". The stretch from base 446 to 600 matches the Rfam family "5.8S ribosomal RNA". The record is from RNAcentral. Lineage: Eukaryota; Fungi; Basidiomycota; Agaricomycetes; Hymenochaetales; Hymenochaetaceae.
GUCUUUGAAGUAGGGGUCUGACAGCUUUGUCUUUGCUUCUGAUGUUGGCAGCAAAGAUUUUUUGUUGCAUGUGCUUUUUGAAGCUUUUUAAUAGACAAAUGUUGUUUUACACUUGCUUUCAAAUCUGCUCAUUUUAUUCUUUAACACCUGUGCACCAAUAAGCAAAGUUCCUCAUCACUUGGGUAGCCUUUGUAACUGAUGUUUAUGUGCAUUGUAUAUGCAACACUUGUCUAGGGUUUCCCCAGACUAGGAUGUGUAUAUUACUGUGGGUCCUGUUAUGAAUUGGCUUGAGGGAUUAAUACAUUCCUAAGUAGAAUAGUAAUAUGGACCAGCAUUGCACAUAUAUAUACAUUAUACAAAAGUGCCUUUGUAUAAUGUGGACUUUGUUUUGAUUUACAUGAACUCUGCUUCUGUCUUGUGGAAUGGAACAGAAAUGGACUUAUAUAACUUUCAACAAUGGAUCUCUUGGCUCUUGCAUCGAUGAAGAACGCAGCGAAAUGCGAUAAGUAGUGUGAAUUGCAGAAUUCAGUGAAUCAUCGAAUCUUUGAAUGCACCUUGUACUCCUUGGGUUACCUGUGGAGUAUGCCUGUUUGAGUGUCAUGUUGAUCUCAAUUCCCUCAGUCUUUCUGUAUGAAGGUCUGUCUCUGGUGAAUUGGACUUUGGAGGUUCAAUGCAAGUUCCCUUAACCCUUCUUAUGGAUGGGGAAUUGGCUCCUCUUAAAAACAUUAGUCUGGAGGAUAAAAUGCAACUGCUCUUUAAGCAUUGUUCAUUUGCUUAUAGUGUAAUAU